CGAUUACUAGCGAUUCCAGCUUCACGCAGUCGAGUUGCAGACUGCGAUCCGAACUGAGAACAGAUUUGUGGGAUUGGCUUAACCUCGCGGUUUCGCUGCCCUUUGUUCUGUCCAUUGUAGCACGUGUGUAGCCCAGGUCAUAAGGGGCAUGAUGAUUUGACGUCAUCCCCACCUUCCUCCGGUUUGUCACCGGCAGUCACCUUAGAGUGCCCAACUGAAUGCUGGCAACUAAGAUCAAGGGUUGCGCUCGUUGCGGGACUUAACCCAACAUCUCACGACACGAGCUGACGACAACCAUGCACCACCUGUCACUCUGCCCCCGAAGGGGACGUCCUAUCUCUAGGAUUGUCAGAGGAUGUCAAGACCUGGUAAGGUUCUUCGCGUUGCUUCGAAUUAAACCACAUGCUCCACCGCUUGUGCGGGCCCCCGUCAAUUCCUUUGAGUUUCAGUCUUGCGACCGUACUCCCCAGGCGGAGUGCUUAAUGCGUUAGCUGCAGCACUAAGGGGCGGAAACCCCCUAACACUUAGCACUCAUCGUUUACGGCGUGGACUACCAGGGUAUCUAAUCCUGUUCGCUCCCCACGCUUUCGCUCCUCAGCGUCAGUUACAGACCAGAGAGUCGCCUUCGCCACUGGUGUUCCUCCACAUCUCUACGCAUUUCACCGCUACACGUGGAAUUCCACUCUCCUCUUCUGCACUCAAGUUCCCCAGUUUCCAAUGACCCUCCCCGGUUGAGCCGGGGGCUUUCACAUCAGACUUAAGAAACCGCCUGCGAGCCCUUUUACGCCCAAUAAUUC
This 797-nucleotide ribosomal RNA is filed under the name Bacillus sp. Mc5Re-15. RNAcentral describes it as "partial 16S ribosomal RNA". The record is from RNAcentral. Lineage: Bacteria; Bacillati; Bacillota; Bacilli; Caryophanales; Bacillaceae.